Molecule: ribosomal RNA, 301 nt
Filed under: uncultured bacterium
Lineage: Bacteria
Description: partial 16S ribosomal RNA
Rfam family: Bacterial small subunit ribosomal RNA
Source: RNAcentral
CAGUAGCCGCGGUAAUACGUAGGGUGCGAGCGUUAAUCGGAAUUACUGGGCGUAAAGCGUGCGCAGGCGGUUGUGUAAGACAGGUGUGAAAUCCCCGGGCUUAACCUGGGAACUGCGCUUGUGACUGCACAGCUAGAGUAUGGCAGAGGGGGGUGGAAUUCCACGUGUAGCAGUGAAAUGCGUAGAGAUGUGGAGGAACACCGAUGGCGAAGGCAGCCCCCUGGGCCAAUACUGACGCUCAUGCACGAAAGCGUGGGGAGCAAACAGGAUUAGAUACCCCUGUAGUCCCUGUCUCUUAUCC